Molecule: ribosomal RNA, 1372 nt
Filed under: uncultured bacterium
Lineage: Bacteria
Description: bacterial SSU rRNA
Rfam family: Bacterial small subunit ribosomal RNA
Source: RNAcentral
GAUGAACGCUGGCGGCGUGCCUAAUACAUGCAAGUCGAGCGAACGGACGAGAAGCUUGCUUCUCUGAUGUUAGCGGCGGACGGGUGAGUAACACGUGGAUAACCUACCUAUAAGACUGGGAUAACUUCGGGAAACCGGAGCUAAUACCGGAUAAUAUUUUGAACCGCAUGGUUCAAAAGUGAAAGACGGUCUUGCUGUCACUUAUAGAUGGAUCCGCGCUGCAUUAGCUAGUUGGUAAGGUAACGGCUUACCAAGGCAACGAUGCAUAGCCGACCUGAGAGGGUGAUCGGCCACACUGGAACUGAGACACGGUCCAGACUCCUACGGGAGGCAGCAGUAGGGAAUCUUCCGCAAUGGGCGAAAGCCUGACGGAGCAACGCCGCGUGAGUGAUGAAGGUCUUCGGAUCGUAAAACUCUGUUAUUAGGGAAGAACAUAUGUGUAAGUAACUGUGCACAUCUUGACGGUACCUAAUCAGAAAGCCACGGCUAACUACGUGCCAGCAGCCGCGGUAAUACGUAGGUGGCAAGCGUUAUCCGGAAUUAUUGGGCGUAAAGCGCGCGUAGGCGGUUUUUUAAGUCCGAUGUGAAAGCCCACGGCUCAACCGUGGAGGGUCAUUGGAAACUGGAAAACUUGAGUGCAGAAGAGGAAAGUGGAAUUCCAUGUGUAGCGGUGAAAUGCGCAGAGAUAUGGAGGAACACCAGUGGCGAAGGCGACUUUCUGGUCUGUAACUGACGCUGAUGUGCGAAAGCGUGGGGAUCAAACAGGAUUAGAUACCCUGGUAGUCCACGCCGUAAACGAUGAGUGCUAAGUGUUAGGGGGUUUCCGCCCCUUAGUGCUGCAGCUAACGCAUUAAGCACUCCGCCUGGGGAGUACGACCGCAAGGUUGAAACUCAAAGGAAUUGACGGGGACCCGCACAAGCGGUGGAGCAUGUGGUUUAAUUCGAAGCAACGCGAAGAACCUUACCAAAUCUUGACAUCCUUUGACAACUCUAGAGAUAGAGCUUUCCCCUUCGGGGGACAAAGUGACAGGUGGUGCAUGGUUGUCGUCAGCUCGUGUCGUGAGAUGUUGGGUUAAGUCCCGCAACGAGCGCAACCCUUAAGCUUAGUUGCCAUCAUUGAGUUGGGCACUCUAAGUUGACUGCCGGUGACAAACCGGAGGAAGGUGGGGAUGACGUCAAAUCAUCAUGCCCCUUAUGAUUUGGGCUACACACGUGCUACAAUGGACAAUACAAAGGGCAGCGAAACCGCGAGGUCAAGCAAAUCCCAUAAAGUUGUUCUCAGUUCGGAUUGUAGUCUGCAACUCGACUACAUGAAGCUGGAAUCGCUAGUAAUCGUAGAUCAGCAUGCUACGGUGAAUACGUUCCCGGGUCU